UCUCUGUUGAUUAUUGUCAGUCCACAAACCAGCUUGUAAACACAUUACCAACAGUUGGACUAGUGUGGUGACUUGUGGCUUACACUUUGCUCAGAAUACCACUUUGAAAAGGUAGUCUGGAAGGAAGAAGUGUGGGUGUGUUAUGAUUUAAUAACUGAUUGGUUAUUUACAUAGUGAUAAUGACAUCAUCAGUAUUAGUGUCAGUAGCUGCAAUGGAGAGCACAGAUUAAGCAGUACCAAAGGCAGUAUUUAUCUGAAGCAAAACAGUGUGGGAGGGAGAAGAUCAAACUAACUUUUUAAAUAUUUACAAGCUGUUCAAUCAUCCUAAUCCAGAGAUUCACAGAGGAAGAGAGAAGCUCAAGCAAUUACACAGAGUUUACAGAACCGCACGCCUGGUGGACACUGAAGUCCGCCCUGAACCCUGCCGAGGCCGGGCAUGGCGCUCCCAGGCUCCCCCCGAGCACGUCUCUGGAUCCAAAGUUUUCAAAAAACUUCUGAAAUUCUGAAAUUGGGCGCUCGCCACUAAAAGGGGGAAGCCUCACUUGCUUUCUCCCCUUUAAAAUACUACAAAUGUCUACACAUAGGCUGUAGUAUUUACACAGAUUGAGUGUCAACCUAACCAUAGAAACUCAAACUGAACUUCCAUCCAUCCUGCGGUGAGCAGCGCCCUCCUGCCGGCCUCACUAACCACCGACCUGCUCUUCAACAUCUCAUGAUCUUGAGAUCACAAACCUUGUUUUCUCGGAUGAUUUUAUCGCGUUAUCUCGAGAUAUCGUAAUAAUUAACACGUUAGAUAAGAUACCGCGAGAUAAGGGCAUUAAAGAUCAUUGAUCCUUAGAUCUGCACCCCGUAACCUGCUUUACAUCCAUGUAACUGUGAUAGCUGUGAUUAGCUGUGAUAGCAGCAGCUGUUAGCUAACGUUAGCGACGGUUCCGUCCGUGAAAAGUCAACUUUGAUCCAUUCCGGUGGGGGAGGACUCCGUGUGGACUCACAGAGGCCGUUACUGUGCAUGCAUGGAACAUACAGAGGCAAACUCGUUGUUGAGCUCAGGGAGCACAGCAUCAUGGGUGAGGAUGGACGGGUCCCUCUGAAGUCGCUCCAGCUCCUCCAGCAGACGCUGCUUGUCUUCCUCACUGCCGUUCCAAACAGUCACUGGCUUGAACAAGGCCUUGCCUGCAGCAUUACGCCUCUCCAGGAUUACAACCUGAGUUCAAGGAUAUCACAAAGGGGUUGCUGUAGCCGCUGAUACACGUAGGCAAACCUCACAACCUCUCUGGCGUUAGUGGAGGCAAAAGAGAGAAACGCCUGGUUCCCAAAAGAAAAGGUCUCUUCUUCACCUGUGAUCAGCAGGACACAGUAUCUGAGGGGAGAAAAGACACAGCAGUAGUUUAACAACUAACAAACAAACUGUGAAUGUAUGUGAAGAAAAUAAAAAGGUUUUCUCAC
Molecule: long non-coding RNA, 1446 nt
Organism: Scatophagus argus
Lineage: Eukaryota; Metazoa; Chordata; Actinopteri; Scatophagidae
Exons: 3
Source: RefSeq, a predicted model, not a curated record